This is a long non-coding RNA of Homo sapiens (human), 964 nucleotides long. Ensembl annotates it as long intergenic non-protein coding RNA 870. The record is from Ensembl. Lineage: Eukaryota; Metazoa; Chordata; Mammalia; Primates; Hominidae.
AGUUGCACAGGGCUUUAUGCCUGGCAAGGGCACCCCUUGCUGUGUGCAUCCCAGAGGAGGCACGUCUGAAGUCUGCAGAGGAAGCUUCUAUCUUCCCUUCCAACGAAUUCCUGCUCAGGCCAGCAAGGAAGAGAGUUUGAGUUGUUUAUGGGAGUAACCCUCUGGCCCAAGAUGGCUGCUGGAGCCUCAGCUACUACAUGUGGAUUCCAGGCCAGAAGUAGAGGGAGGGGAAAACAAAGGAGUAUACCUUCCGGGGAUAUCAGCUUUUUUGUAUCAUCUUCCUGAGGUCCUGUGCAUUUCCAUAGUCACAUAUAUGCCCCUAACCGUCUUCUCAGGCCUUAAAUGUUUGGGCGUGUUGUGAAUCUCCAAGACUGAGCCACAAGAUGCAGCAUUUUCCUAAUGACCUCAGGCCCUUUUUGAAUGGGCACUUUUGGGAAUCAGCGUUCUGCAAAGCAUACCUUGGGAAGCCACAGAGAGCUUUUCCCUGAAGCAGGGUUUCUCAACCUGUACGUUGUUGGCAUUUGGGGCAGGAUAAUUCUUAGUUGUGGGCGGCUGUCCUGUGCAUUGGAGGGUAUUUACCAGCAUCCCUGGCCUCUGCUCACCAGAUGCCAAUAGCAAUUCCUCCCCCACCCUGUUGUGACAACCAAAAGUGUCCCCAGGUAUUGCCAAAUGUUCCCUGCUGGCAAAAUGGCCCUCAGAUGAGAACCUUUACUCUAGGGAAAUUUCUAGAAUCAAGAAAAUACAUUGCAAUGAUAGGAGAGACCACUCUCUCAGGUAUGAAUAUUCAGCUGACUGUUAGAGUCCUUGGCAAUAAGAUUGUUAUUUUUUAAAAGAGACAGUAUUACUGGUGAAGAUUCAUUUCAAAAAUGGAAAUGAAAAUAAAAGUUGCUGUUUCUAUGAUAACUAAGUCAAAAACUUAUGGAAAUUUAUGGAACAAGUGCGUAAAUUAAACUUGCUUUAAAAA